GAGGGUAUAGCUCAGUGGUAGAGUGCGUGCUUAACAUGCACAAGGUCCUGGGUUCAAUCCCCCGUACCUCCA
This 72-nucleotide transfer RNA is filed under the name Camelus ferus (Wild Bactrian camel). It matches the Rfam family "tRNA". From Rfam's summary of the family: Transfer RNA (tRNA) molecules are approximately 80 nucleotides in length. Their secondary structure includes four short double-helical elements and three loops (D, anti-codon, and T loops). Further hydrogen bonds mediate the characteristic L-shaped molecular structure. tRNAs have two regions of fundamental functional importance: the anti-codon, which is responsible for specific mRNA codon recognition, and the 3' end, to which the tRNAs corresponding amino acid is attached (by aminoacyl-tRNA synthetases). tRNAs cope with the degeneracy of the genetic code in two manners: having more than one tRNA (with a specific anti-codon) for a particular amino acid; and 'wobble' base-pairing, i.e. permitting non-standard base-pairing at the 3rd anti-codon position. Lineage: Eukaryota; Metazoa; Chordata; Mammalia; Artiodactyla; Camelidae. The record is from Rfam by way of RNAcentral.